RNAcentral lists this ribosomal RNA (681 nucleotides) under uncultured Pseudomonadota bacterium. Its description in RNAcentral is "bacterial SSU rRNA". It matches the Rfam family "Bacterial small subunit ribosomal RNA", at positions 50 to 720 of the family's 1533-position model. The record is from RNAcentral. Lineage: Bacteria; Pseudomonadati; Pseudomonadota.
AACACAUGCAAGUCGAACGGUAACAGGAAGCAGCUUGCUGCUUCGCUGACGAGUGGCGGACGGGUGAGUAAUGUCUGGGAAACUGCCUGAUGGAGGGGGAUAACUACUGGAAACGGUAGCUAAUACCGCAUAACGUCGCAAGACCAAAGAGGGGGACCUUCGGGCCUCUUGCCAUCGGAUGUGCCCAGAUGGGAUUAGCUAGUAGGUGGGGUAACGGCUCACCUAGGCGACGAUCCCUAGCUGGUCUGAGAGGAUGACCAGCCACACUGGAACUGAGACACGGUCCAGACUCCUACGGGAGGCAGCAGUGGGGAAUAUUGCACAAUGGGCGCAAGCCUGAUGCAGCCAUGCCGCGUGUAUGAAGAAGGCCUUCGGGUUGUAAAGUACUUUCAGCGGGGAGGAAGGGAGUAAAGUUAAUACCUUUGCUCAUUGACGUUACCCGCAGAAGAAGCACCGGCUAACUCCGUGCCAGCAGCCGCGGUAAUACGGAGGGUGCAAGCGUUAAUCGGAAUUACUGGGCGUAAAGCGCACGCAGGCGGUUUGUUAAGUCAGAUGUGAAAUCCCCGGGCUCAACCUGGGAACUGCAUCUGAUACUGGCAAGCUUGAGUCUCGUAGAGGGGGGUAGAAUUCCAGGUGUAGCGGUGAAAUACGUAGAGAUCUGGAGGAAUACCGGUGGCGAAG